UCCUCUCUCUGUAAAUCUUCCAUUUCUUUCAACUUCUCAUUCGUUCGAUUUUGUGCUCGACCAUUUUGUUCCCAUCCAGCCGUUUAUCUGAAACCAUCCGCAUCGAUUUUUAACAAUUUUAAAUUAUCGAUGUCCGCACUGGUCCGCUGGUUGUCAGAAAACCACAUACAUCCCAAAGAUUGUAAACUGGAUAAGCGUUUGUUCUUGUGCGGCAACAAAAAGGACUUGCAUCAAAUUGGAAAACGUCUGCGAUUCAACACCGCAUUGUCCGGAUAAGAAGGACGAAGGAGACACUUGCAAUGAUAAAAACUUCACUUGCGCUACUCACAAAUGCUCUCACGAUUGCGUUCAACUACCGUCCGGUCCCAAAUGUCUUCGUCCCAGCGGAUACAACACCAUCGAUGAUAAAACUUGCCAAGACAUCAACGAGUGUGAAACUUAUGGUAUUCUCUUUGCAAAUCUAUUCGUACGUUUAUAAGUGCUAUAUAAGAAAGGUUAAAAUAUUUCUAAAAUUAA
This is a long non-coding RNA of Nicrophorus vespilloides, 516 nucleotides long. RefSeq lists it as uncharacterized. The record is from RefSeq and is a predicted model, not a curated record. NCBI's taxonomy places the organism in Eukaryota, Metazoa, Arthropoda, Insecta, Coleoptera, Silphidae. The transcript is spliced from 2 exons.